RNAcentral lists this ribosomal RNA (401 nucleotides) under Cirrospilus ambiguus. Its description in RNAcentral is "eukaryotic LSU rRNA". The record is from RNAcentral. Lineage: Eukaryota; Metazoa; Arthropoda; Insecta; Hymenoptera; Eulophidae.
CCUGAGAAACCCAAAAGAUCGAAUGGGGAGAUUCAUCGUCAGCGGCGCUGGCUUCCGUGCGACGCGCGAUGGCGGGGACCUCGGUCUCGCGCCACGCCGUCGCUGCGGCAUGCCCGGCGUCGUCGGCGUGCACUUCUCCCCUAGUAGGACGUCGCGACCCGUUGGGUGUCGGAUCGAUGGCCGGACGGUCGUCUGUCGUGCUCACGCGCUUCAGACCUGCCGGUCGAUUUUCCGACUGCCCGGCGGUAUCGAACGUUGAAAACUGGUACUGGGCCGCAUUCAGUGCGUUCCUGGCUCGUCGGCAGGCUCGUCUCGCUCGGAUUUACGGACCUAGCGCCGUUGCCGGGCGCUUGGCGCGGCCGUUAGUCGGCGAUGUCCUCGGACUGGCUCUUACCGAUGCG